AGAGUUUGAUCCUGGCUCAGAGCGAACGCUGGCGGCGUGCCUAACACAUGCAAGUCGAACGUGAAACCCCGCAAGGGGGAGUAAAGUGGCGUACGGGUGAGUAACACGUAGGUAAUCUACCUGAGAGUCUGGAAUAACCGGCCGAAAGGCUGGCUAAUACUGGAUAGAGCGACGGAAUCCGUAAUUGGGUUUUUCGGGAAAGGGAGGAAGCAAUUCCCUUCGCUCUCAGAUGAGCCUGCGUCCCAUCAGCUAGUUGGCGAGGUAACGGCUCACCAAGGCAAUGACGGGUAGCUGGUCUGAGAGGAUGAUCAGCCACACUGGAACUGAAACACGGUCCAGACUCCUACGGGAGGCAGCAGUGGGGAAUCUUGCGCAAUGGACGAAAGUCUGACGCAGCCACGCCGCGUGAGUGAAGAAGGCCUUCGGGUUGUAAAGCUCUGUCGGAAGGGACGAAAAUGAUCUGGGUGAAUAGCCCAGGUAACUGACGGUACCCUUCAAGGAAGCACCGGCUAACUCUGUGCCAGCAGCCGCGGUAAUACAGAAGGUGCA
RNAcentral lists this ribosomal RNA (549 nucleotides) under uncultured bacterium. RNAcentral describes it as "bacterial SSU rRNA". It matches the Rfam family "Bacterial small subunit ribosomal RNA", at positions 8 to 536 of the family's 1533-position model. The record is from RNAcentral.